GAGGAAGCACCAACAGCUGCUGCUGAAGAAAAAGUGGAAGAUACUGCCGCUACUGUUGCUGAAGAAAGCACUGAAACUAAUCCUGCUGCUGAAAACAACAGUGAAGAUGCUCCUGCUGUCGAAACAGAAAGCAGUGAAACUACUGAACAGAAAAACUCGGAUGAAGAAGAAGCUGCCGAUGAGACACCAGAGAUAAAGCUGGAAACAGCGCCAGCUGAUUUCCGUUUCCCAACUACUAA
This 239-nucleotide unclassified non-coding RNA is filed under the name Hevea brasiliensis (rubber tree). Lineage: Eukaryota; Viridiplantae; Streptophyta; Magnoliopsida; Malpighiales; Euphorbiaceae. The record is from RNAcentral.